This 253-nucleotide ribosomal RNA is filed under the name uncultured bacterium. RNAcentral describes it as "partial 16S ribosomal RNA". It matches the Rfam family "Bacterial small subunit ribosomal RNA", at positions 524 to 776 of the family's 1533-position model. The record is from RNAcentral.
UACAGAGGGUGCAAGCGUUGUUCGGAAUUAUUGGGCGUAAAGCGCGUGUAGGCGGUCUUGCAAGUCGGGUGUGAAAUCCCUUGGCUCAACUGAGGAAGUGCGCCCGAAACUGCAGGACUUGAGUACCGGAGAGGAUGGCGGAAUUCCCCAAGUAGAGGUGAAAUUCGUAGAUAUCGGGAGGAACACCGGUGGCGAAGGCGGCGACCUGGGUAGAUACUGACGCUGAGGAGCGAAAGCCAGGGGAGCAAACGGG